UGGCUUAACUGGUAAAGCAUUUGUCUAGCAAGCAUGGGGUUCUGAGUUCAAUCCUCAG
RNAcentral lists this transfer RNA (58 nucleotides) under Dipodomys ordii (Ord's kangaroo rat). It matches the Rfam family "tRNA", at positions 8 to 63 of the family's 71-position model. From Rfam's summary of the family: Transfer RNA (tRNA) molecules are approximately 80 nucleotides in length. Their secondary structure includes four short double-helical elements and three loops (D, anti-codon, and T loops). The record is from Rfam by way of RNAcentral. Lineage: Eukaryota; Metazoa; Chordata; Mammalia; Rodentia; Heteromyidae.